Molecule: unclassified non-coding RNA, 336 nt
Filed under: soil metagenome
Description: partial contains 5.8S ribosomal RNA, internal transcribed spacer 2, and large subunit ribosomal RNA
Rfam family: 5.8S ribosomal RNA (bases 1-120)
Source: RNAcentral
GAUGAAGAACGCAGCGAAAUGCGAUAAGUAAUGUGAAUUGCAGAAUUCAGUGAAUCAUCGAAUCUUUGAACGCACAUUGCGCCCGCCAGUAUUCUGGCGGGCAUGCCUGUUCGAGCGUCAUUUCAACCAUCAAGCCCCAGGCUUGUGUUGGGGACCUGCGGCUGCCGCAGGCCCUGAAAAGCAGUGGCGGGCUCGCUGUCACACCGAGCGUAGUAGCAUACAUCUCGCUCUGGGCGUGCUGCGGGUUCCGGCCGUUAAACCACCUUCAUAACCCAAGGUUGACCUCGGAUCAGGUAGGAAGACCCGCUGAACUUAAGCAUAUCAAUAAGCGGAGGA